Molecule: ribosomal RNA, 290 nt
Filed under: uncultured bacterium
Lineage: Bacteria
Description: partial 16S ribosomal RNA
Rfam family: Bacterial small subunit ribosomal RNA
Source: RNAcentral
GGUGAACGCUGGCGGUGCGCCUAAUACAUGCAAGUCGAACGAGAAGUCGAAGUUUACUUUGACGGAAAGUGGCGGACGAGUGAGUAACACGUAAGAAUCUGCCCCGUACUCAGGGAUAACGGCUCGAAAGAGUCGCUAAUACCGGAUAGUCUCGAAAGAGUAAAGCUUUCGCGGUACGGGAGGAGCUUGCGGUCUAUCAGCUAGUUGGUGGGGUAAAGGCCCACCAAGGCUAUGACGGAUAGCUGGUGUGAGAGCAUGACCAGCCACGAUGGGACUGAGACACGGCCCAU